UUUCCAAAAGUAACAAAAAUGACUAUCUACUUUUUAACAACAAAGACUAGAAAAUUAACAAUACUGAUACAUUUGAUUCUGUUAUACAAUGCAGCGACUUCAUUCUUGAUAUUUAUGAAAGUAAUUUUAUUCUUAUUGAUCAAAAUAUCCAUAAAAGGAAUGUGAUAAUUAUAGGAAACAUUUAAAUUUUUUGAGGUAGCGACAUUGUUUAAAAUCACAAUUUUAAAAAGAAAUGUAGUUUCAUAGCAUAUUUUGGAUCUGUGGUCGGUACAUUCAAAUGCAAUGCAUUAGUACCCUUUCUAUUUUUUUGGCCAGCAUCUCAUCAAGUACUAAACCCUUGAAACAUUAAAAAAAAAACGAUUGUGUAAAAAAUUAUAAUAAAAUCAACCUUUCUUCAUAAAAAAAUAUAUUAAAAAGUAAAAAAAUGAAUGACUUUUCUUUUGCUUAUCAAUUUGAUGUUUAAUCUUAAAAUGAUAUGUUUCCUAAUUUAGAAUUAAGAUACAAUGGAAUUAAUUCUAGACAAACUGUAUCAUGUGUAGGCUCAACAAUUAAAAAGAAUUUGUAAAAAAUUAAUACAGCACAUACAAGGAUCCGGAAAUUUUUUCACCUAAUUUCGGUCAUUUUCAUAUAACUUAAAAGUUGGUGCCCCUUUUCAAAAACAGAUUGUCAAAAUCUCAUUACUGCAUUAGUAUGCUCCUACUCGUAGCAUCAACGAACUUGUUUAACUGUUGCAUCGUGUUUACUUCAUGAUUUAUCCUACCAUUUUCCUAAAAUCGAUCAAGAGCAAUUAAGGGAAGGCAACAGUUUAAGAAUAAAAUGAUUUUAAUGACUCAAAAUCGUAUUUUUUUCAGUCAUCGCUUACGUUUCUUUCGAUUCUGAAGUCGAAAUUCAAACCGG
RNAcentral lists this long non-coding RNA (897 nucleotides) under Mytilus galloprovincialis (Mediterranean mussel). Lineage: Eukaryota; Metazoa; Mollusca; Bivalvia; Mytilida; Mytilidae. The record is from RNAcentral.